This 433-nucleotide ribosomal RNA is filed under the name uncultured bacterium. RNAcentral describes it as "partial 16S ribosomal RNA". It matches the Rfam family "Bacterial small subunit ribosomal RNA", at positions 29 to 507 of the family's 1533-position model. The record is from RNAcentral.
AACGAACGCUGGCGGCAUGCCUAACACAUGCAAGUCGAACGAGACCAUCGUGUGUAGUUGCGCACGGGUGCGUAACGCGGGGGAACCUUCCCUUAGGCUCGGAAUAAUUCUCCUACGUGGGUGCUAAUGCCGGAUAAUUUCUUCGAACAAAAGAUUUGUCGUGUUUGUGUGGGCGCGAGUUGGAUUAGCUGGUUGGGAGGGUAAAAGCCUAUCACGGCGACGAUCCAUAGCUGGGCUGAGAGGAAGAUCAGCCACACUGGGAGGAAGACCCGGCCCAGACUCCUACGGGAGGCAGCAGUGGGGGAUAUUGGACAAUGGGCGAAAGCCUGAUCCAGCAAUGCCGCGUGAGUGAUGAAGGCGGGAGGGUUGUAAAGCUCUUUUACCCGGGAUGAUAAUGACAGUACCGGGAGAAUAAGCACCGGCUAACUCCGUG